CUGAGAUAAGGGUUCUUUUUCCUCUCUUGCAAUAACUGAUAACUUCACUGAACAAGGCAGGGAUAUCUUCUGUAGCUGGGGAAUGUAAUUCUGAACUCAGGACAUGUAAUACACAGAUGCCUCAGUCUGGAUGAAUGUCCUAUCCCGCCAGAUGCUAUUGAACCCAAAGAGAGAUGGACAGUCCUUGUGGCAGCAAAGAGCUUACAAUCAGGGUGUUCCUCGCUUUUACGAGCACUAGUUUCACUCUUUUUUUAAUAGAAAAAAAAUAAAGUUACUGGCUAACCGUUGCCCUGAGGAAUUUUCACUGGGAGCCGCAUGCUCAUGGCUGAGAGCCGGGUUCAACUCACUGUCUAACGUACACCAAGAGCAAGAGGGCCACCCUCUCGAAGAGCUGAUUCCCAUCAAUGGAGGUCAGGGCGAUGUACAAGAAGAGGCCAUAGAGGACUGGCUUCGGGAUCCACUGCAGUGGGAAGGGCAGGAG
Chrysemys picta bellii (western painted turtle) is the source of this 481-nucleotide non-coding RNA. The record is from RefSeq and is a predicted model, not a curated record. NCBI's taxonomy places the organism in Eukaryota, Metazoa, Chordata, Testudines, Emydidae.